AUUGAACGAUGGCGGCAUGCCUUACACAUGCAAGUCGAACGGUAGCAGGUCUUCGGAUGCUGACGAGUGGCGAACGGGUGAGUAAUACAUCGGAACGUGCCCGAUCGUGGGGGAUAACGGAGCGAAAGCUUUGCUAAUACCGCAUACGAUCUACGGAUGAAAGCAGGGGACCGCAAGGCCUUGCGCGGACGGAGCGGCCGAUGGCAGAUUAGGUAGUGGGUGGGAUAAAAGCUUACCAAGCCGACGAUCUGUAGCUGGUCUGAGAGGACGACCAGCCACACUGGGACUGAGACACGGCCCAGACUCCUACGGGAGGCAGCAGUGGGGAAUUUUGGACAAUGGGCGAAAGCCUGAUCCAGCCAUGCCGCGUGCAGGAUGAAGGCCUUCGGGUUGUAAACUGCUUUUGUACGGAACGAAAAGACUCUUUCUAAUAAAGAGGGUCCAUGACGGUACCGUAAGAAUAAGCACCGGCUAACUACGUGCCAGCAGCAGCCGCCG
This 498-nucleotide ribosomal RNA is filed under the name uncultured bacterium. Its description in RNAcentral is "partial 16S ribosomal RNA". It matches the Rfam family "Bacterial small subunit ribosomal RNA", at positions 30 to 523 of the family's 1533-position model. The record is from RNAcentral.